CGUCCCGCCGGCGACCGGCGCACGGGUGAGUAACACGUAUGCAACCUGGCCGUGACAGAUGGAUAACCGGGAGAAAUCCCGCCUAAUACAACAUAAUGCCGGGAGGGGACAUCCCCUGCCGGCCAAAGGGGGCGACCCCGGUCACGGAUGGGCAUGCGGCGCAUUAGGUAGUUGGUGGGGCAACGGCCCACCAAGCCGACGAUGCGUAGGGGUUCUGAGAGGAAGGUCCCCCACAUUGGAACUGAGACACGGUCCAAACUCCUACGGGAGGCAGCAG
This 277-nucleotide ribosomal RNA is filed under the name uncultured bacterium. RNAcentral's name for it is "partial 16S ribosomal RNA". It matches the Rfam family "Bacterial small subunit ribosomal RNA", at positions 81 to 354 of the family's 1533-position model. The record is from RNAcentral.